GCCCGGAUGGUCUAGUGGUACGUUCCACUUCAAAAUGCUAUCCUGCGAAUCUUCAACUAAUGAAUAAUUAGGUAUGAUUCGCGCUUCGGGUGUGCGAGGUCCCGCGUUCAAAUCGCGGUUCGGGCC
This 126-nucleotide transfer RNA is filed under the name Penicillium chrysogenum. Its description in RNAcentral is "tRNA-Pro (CGG) (tRNA-Pro-CGG-2-1)". The record is from RNAcentral. Lineage: Eukaryota; Fungi; Ascomycota; Eurotiomycetes; Eurotiales; Aspergillaceae. RNAcentral also lists the same sequence under 4 other names.